AAAGCUUUAAGUUAAAAUAAACUAUUAACCUUCAAAGUUAAAUAUAUAUAAAGAGUAUAAGCUUUA
Molecule: transfer RNA, 66 nt
Filed under: Paraplea frontalis
Lineage: Eukaryota; Metazoa; Arthropoda; Insecta; Hemiptera; Pleidae
Description: tRNA-Trp
Source: RNAcentral